Unclassified non-coding RNA from Callithrix jacchus (white-tufted-ear marmoset), 147 nucleotides. It matches the Rfam family "Metazoan signal recognition particle RNA". Rfam says of the family: The signal recognition particle (SRP) is a universally conserved ribonucleoprotein. It is involved in the co-translational targeting of proteins to membranes. The record is from Ensembl. NCBI's taxonomy places the organism in Eukaryota, Metazoa, Chordata, Mammalia, Primates, Cebidae.
GCCAGGCAUGGUGACUUAUGCCUGUAGUCACAGCUACUUGGAGGCUGAGGUAGGAGGAUUGCUUGAGCCCAGGAGGCUGAGGCUGCAGUGAGCCAAGAUCAUGCCACUGCACUCCAGCCUGGGCGACAGAGCAAGACCCCAUCUCAA